GAUGAACGCUGGCGGCGUGCCUAAUACAUGCAAGUCGAGCGAACGGACGAGAAGCUUGCUUCUCUGAUGUUAGCGGCGGACGGGUGAGUAACACGUGGAUAACCUACCUAUAAGACUGGGAUAACUUCGGGAAACCGGAGCUAAUACCGGAGAAUAUUUUGAACCGCAUGGUUCAAAAGUGAAAGACGGUCUUGCUGUCACUUAUAGAUGGAUCCGCGCUGCAUUAGCUAGUUGGUAAGGUAACGGCUUACCAAGGCAACGAUGCAUAGCCGACCUGAGAGGGUGAUAGGCCACACUGGAACUGAGACACGGUCCAGACUCCUACGGGAGGCAGCAGUAGGGAAUCUGCCGCAAUGGGCGAAAGCCUGACGGAGCAACGCCGCGUGAGUGAUGAAGGUCUUCGGAUCGUAAAACUCUGUUAUUAGGGAAGAACAUAUGUGUAAGUAACUGUGCACAUCUUGACGGUACCUAAUCAGAAAGCCACGGCUAACUACGUG
This 497-nucleotide ribosomal RNA is filed under the name uncultured bacterium. RNAcentral's name for it is "partial 16S ribosomal RNA". It matches the Rfam family "Bacterial small subunit ribosomal RNA", at positions 28 to 507 of the family's 1533-position model. The record is from RNAcentral.